AGAGUUUGAUCAUGGCUCAGGAUGAACGCUGGCGAGAUGCUUUACACAUGCAAGUCGUACGAGAGUUUUAAACUCAAGUGGCGGACGGGUGAGUAACACGUAAGAAUUUACCUUUAGGAGGGGGAUAACAGACAGAAAUGACUGCUAAUACCCCAUAUGCUUUCGAGUGAAAUGGAUUUUUCCGCCUAGAGAGAAGCCUAUGUCAGAUUAGCUAGUUGGUAAGGUAAGAGCUUACCAAGGCGACGAUCUGUAGCCGGCCUGAGAGGGUGGACGGCCACACUGGGACUGAGACACGGCCCAGACUCCUACGGGAGGCAGCAGUAGGGAAUAUUGGACAAUGGGCGCAAGCCUGAUCCAGCAAUGCCGCGUGUGUGAAGAAGGCCUGCGGGUUGUAAAGCACUUUCAGCAAGGAAGAAAUGCUUAGGGUUAAUAGCCUUGAGAGUUGACGUUACUUGCAGAAGAAGCACCGGCUAACUCUGUGCCAGCAGCCGCGGUAAUACAGAGGGUGCGAGCGUUAAUCGGAAUUACUGGGCGUAAAGCGUGCGUAGGCGGCUAUUUAAGUCUGAUGUGAAAUCCCCGUGCUUAACAUGGGAAUUGCAUCGGAUACUGGGUAGCUAGAGUAUGGUAGAGGAGAGUGGAAUUUCUAGUGUAGCGGUGAAAUGCGUAGAUAUUAGAAGGAACACCAGUGGCGAAGGCGACUCUCUGGACUAAUACUGACACUGAGGCGCGAAAGCGUGGGGAGCAAACAGGAUUAGAUACCCUGGUAGUCCACGCCGUAAACGAUGAGAACUAGCUGUUGGGUGGGCAUGUCCCUUUAGUGUCGAAGCUAACGCGUUAAGUUCUCCGCCUGGGGAGUACGGCCGCAAGGUUAAAACUCAAAGGAAUUGACGGGGGCCCGCACAAGCGGUGGAGCAUGUGGUUUAAUUCGAUGCAACGCGAAAAACCUUACCUGCCCUUGACAUCCUCAGAACUUGUCAGAAAUGACUUGGUGCCUUCGGGAGCCGAGUGACAGGUGCUGCAUGACUGUCGUCAGCUCGUGUCGUGAGAUGUUGGGUUAAGUCCCGUAACGAGCGCAACCCUUGUCCUUAGUUGCCAGCACGUAAUGGUGGGAACUCUAGGGAGACUGCCGGCUCAAACCGGAGGAAGGUGUGGACGACGUCAAGUCAUCAUGGCCCUUACGGGCAGGGCUACACACGUGCUACAAUGGUCAGUACAGACGGUCGCGAACCCGCAAGGGGAAGCCAAUCUGACAAAGCUGAUCGUAGUCCGGAUCGGAGUCUGCAACUCGACUCCGUGAAGUCGGAAUCGCUAGUAAUCGCAGAUCAGAACGCUGCGGUGAAUACGUUCCCGGGCCUUGUACACACCGCCCGUCA
Molecule: ribosomal RNA, 1373 nt
Filed under: uncultured prokaryote
Description: partial 16S ribosomal RNA
Rfam family: Bacterial small subunit ribosomal RNA
Source: RNAcentral